Phyllostomus discolor (pale spear-nosed bat) is the source of this 258-nucleotide long non-coding RNA. RefSeq lists it as uncharacterized. Lineage: Eukaryota; Metazoa; Chordata; Mammalia; Chiroptera; Phyllostomidae. The transcript has 3 exons. The record is from RefSeq and is a predicted model, not a curated record.
ACUAUUACAUUGUAAUAUAUAGUGAAAUAAUUAUACAACUCACCACAAUGCAGAAUCAGUGGGAGCCCUGAGCUGGUUUUACUGCAACUAGAUGGUCCCAUCUGGGGGUGAUGGGAGACAGUGGCACCCAAAGUGUGUUGCUUAUGUCCAGUCUACUCCAUAAUCUCGUUUUGGUUGCUAUCACUGCAGAAAACCCUGCUUCACAAAGAUAGAAUGUUGGAAAUGGAAGCAGGCUUCUCAGUGCUUCAGUCUCAGCCA